UACAGAGGGGGCAAGCGUUGUUCGGAAUUACUGGGCGUAAAGCGUGCGCAGGCGGUUUUGUAAGCCAGAUGUGAAAUCCCCGGGCUUAACCUGGGAAUGGCAUUUGGGACUGCAAGGCUUGAGUGCGGCAGAGGAGACUGGAAUUCCUGGUGUAGCAGUGAAAUGCGUAGAUAUCAGGAGGAACACCGAUGGCGAAGGCAGGUCUCUGGGCUGACACUGACGCUCAUGCACGA
RNAcentral lists this ribosomal RNA (233 nucleotides) under uncultured bacterium. RNAcentral describes it as "partial 16S ribosomal RNA". It matches the Rfam family "Bacterial small subunit ribosomal RNA", at positions 524 to 756 of the family's 1533-position model. The record is from RNAcentral.